AAAAAAACAAAACUUAGAUUUUUGUGUCCAACAUUUUAUUGUUCGUUUUAUAUGAAAUUUUUUAUAAUUAGUAUUUUCAUUGUUGUUAGAUGAUAAAACAUGAUUAAUACUUUAUGAAUAACUUGUCUUUUUUAAUUUUUUUCUAAAUAAUAUGGACGGUUAAACGUUGGACACAGAAACCCAC
Oryza sativa Indica Group (long-grained rice) is the source of this 184-nucleotide microRNA precursor. It matches the Rfam family "MIR812 microRNA precursor family". The record is from Rfam. Lineage: Eukaryota; Viridiplantae; Streptophyta; Magnoliopsida; Poales; Poaceae.